Long non-coding RNA from Haliotis rubra (blacklip abalone), 123 nucleotides. RefSeq lists it as uncharacterized. The transcript has 3 exons. Lineage: Eukaryota; Metazoa; Mollusca; Gastropoda; Lepetellida; Haliotidae. The record is from RefSeq and is a predicted model, not a curated record.
AGUUUACAAAUUUUUCCAUUAAGUCGGGCUAGCUUUGCCUGAAAUUUACUAGCCCACAAAAUAAUUCACGAGUCCGAAAUUUGAAUGUAGACACGGGUUUCGUUGUUAAGCUGCUAAUAUGAU